GCACAUAAAAACACACCCUACAGAUAGGGCUAGAUUUUUCAAAUGCAAGCGCAGCAAGAGGGGACAUGUGUAGAUUCUCCGGUUAACCCUAGUACAUGCUCAAAUCUAGUUCAAACAGGAAUUAACACUGUCACCGGAGGUAUUUUAUAUUACGAUCCAAAUAAGGAUCGUGAAGAAUUAGCAAAAAUGAUUACUGUUAUGUGCUUG
This 207-nucleotide long non-coding RNA is filed under the name Nicotiana benthamiana. RNAcentral's name for it is "long non-coding RNA (NBEN_LNC006266)". The record is from RNAcentral. Lineage: Eukaryota; Viridiplantae; Streptophyta; Magnoliopsida; Solanales; Solanaceae.